RNAcentral lists this small RNA (86 nucleotides) under Xanthomonas oryzae pv. oryzicola. RNAcentral's name for it is "sX9 sRNA". It matches the Rfam family "Xanthomonas sRNA sX9". The record is from RNAcentral. Lineage: Bacteria; Pseudomonadati; Pseudomonadota; Gammaproteobacteria; Lysobacterales; Lysobacteraceae.
AUGUACCACUUGGGCACUGCGGUUCCUGUGCGCUGCCCCCGCUCACCUGACGAGUGCUCGCUAGGCGCACCAAGCGCGAUGCGGCC